RNAcentral lists this long non-coding RNA (202 nucleotides) under Trifolium pratense (red clover). Its description in RNAcentral is "long non-coding RNA (TPRA_LNC006975)". Lineage: Eukaryota; Viridiplantae; Streptophyta; Magnoliopsida; Fabales; Fabaceae. The record is from RNAcentral.
CACUAAAUUAAUUACCUGUGGGAAAGAUUAAAUUUUCCAAUGUUGUUGUAUGAAGUUGUGAGAAGGGGAAUCACCUCUUCCACCACUUUCUUCUUCCAUUUUGGUCUUCCUACUCUUCCCACUUUGUUGUACACAAACCCUUUAUAUAAUAAGUCUCUCUUUCUUCUUUUUUUUGAACAAUAUAAUAAGUCUCUUUGUUCUU